GAUGAACGCUGGCGGCGUGCCUAAUACAUGCAAGUCGAGCGAACAGACGAGGAGCUUGCUCCUCUGACGUUAGCGGCGGACGGGGGAGUAACACGUGGAUCACCUACCUAUAAGACUGGGAUAACUUCGGGAAACCGGAGCUAAUACCGGAUAAUAUAUUGAACCGCAUGGUUCAAUAGUUAAAGACGGUUUUGCUUUCAGUUAUAGAUGGUUCCGCGCCGCCUUAGCUAGUUGGUAAGGUAGCGGCUUACCAAGGCAACGAUGCGUAGCCGACCUCAGAGGGUGAUGGGCCACACUGGAACUGGGACACGGUCCAGACUCCUACGGGAGGGAGAAGUAGGGAAUCGUACGCAGGGGGCGAGAGCUUGACGGAGCAGCGCCGCGUGAGUGAGGAAGAUGUUCGGAUCGGGAAACUCAGUUAUUAGGGACGAACAAAUGUGUAAGUAACUAUGCACGUCUUGACGGUACCGAAAGAGAAAGCCCCGGCUAACUACGUG
RNAcentral lists this ribosomal RNA (497 nucleotides) under uncultured bacterium. RNAcentral's name for it is "partial 16S ribosomal RNA". It matches the Rfam family "Bacterial small subunit ribosomal RNA", at positions 28 to 507 of the family's 1533-position model. The record is from RNAcentral.